GUGAUGGAGUACAUUUUGAACCAAGUCUGUGUAACUCUGAAACCAGAGCUUUUUGAUACCACCCAGGCUUGGGACUCUCUGUGACAAGUCUGGUUUAAACUGCUCUCUGCUUUAUUCCCACUUCUCUGAAGCUUCCUCAUCCUUCAUACGACUGACCCUGGAGCUGAAGGCCAGGUUUUGCAGUGGUCUGAGUCACUCAGCCCUAAACCAGGUGUGUUCCAAUUUCCUCUACUAUAUGUGCCUCAACCUCCUCUCAGCUCCAGAGAAGACAGGACCACCUUCCGAAGAAGAACUCUCUGCAGUUUCUGAGCUCCUGCAGCAUGGGCUGCCCCAGAUAAGCAGCAGGAGCCCUGAAAGCCUUGCCUUCCUGUCUGAUCACCAGUACAUGGAGGGAGCUGCUCGCCAGAGACAGUACUGCAUCCUGCUCCUCUUCUACUUGUCCUACAUCCAUGAGGACAGGUCAGUGCACAGAGGCCGGGCGCGGUGGCUCACUCCUGUAAUCCCAGCUCUUUGGGAGGCUGAGAUGGGCAGAUCACGAGGUCAAGAGAUCGAGACCAUCAUGGCUAACACAUACCAGGGCAAGCGCCCC
This 589-nucleotide small RNA is filed under the name Pongo abelii (Sumatran orangutan). RNAcentral describes it as "processed transcript". Lineage: Eukaryota; Metazoa; Chordata; Mammalia; Primates; Hominidae. The record is from RNAcentral.